Molecule: ribosomal RNA, 406 nt
Filed under: uncultured bacterium
Lineage: Bacteria
Description: partial 16S ribosomal RNA
Rfam family: Bacterial small subunit ribosomal RNA
Source: RNAcentral
AUUGAACGCUGGCGGCAGGCCUAACACAUGCAAGUCGAGCGAGCGGCGGACGGGGGAGUAUUAUCUGGGAAACUGCCUGAUGGAGGGGGAUAACUACUGGGAACGGUAGCUAAUACCGCACACCAUCAGAUGUGCCCAGAUGGGAUUAGCUAGUAGAUGGGGUAACGCCUCACCUAGGCGACGCUCCCUAGCUGUUCUGAGAGGAUGACCAUCCACACUGGAACUGAGACACGGUCCAGACUCCUACGGGAGGCAGCAGUGGGGAAUAUUGCACAAUGGGCGCAAGCCUGAUGCAGCCAUGCCGCGUGUGUGAAGAAGUCCUUCGGGUUGUAAAGCACUUUCAGCGGGGAGGCGUUACCCGCAGAAGAAGCACCGGCUAACUCCGUGACAGCAGCCGCGGUAAUUC